RNAcentral lists this ribosomal RNA (446 nucleotides) under uncultured bacterium. RNAcentral describes it as "partial 16S ribosomal RNA". It matches the Rfam family "Bacterial small subunit ribosomal RNA", at positions 338 to 795 of the family's 1533-position model. The record is from RNAcentral.
CCUACGGGGUGCAGCAGUCGAGAAUCAUUCACAAUGGGGGAAACCCUGAUGGUGCGACGCCGCGUGGGGGAAUGAAGGUCUUCGGAUUGUAAACCCCUGUCAUGUGGGAGCAAAUUAAAAAGAUCGUACCACAAGAGGAAGAGACGGCUAACUCUGUGCCAGCAGCCGCGGUAAUACAGAGGUCUCAAGCGUUGUUCGGAAUCACUGGGCGUAACGCGUGCGUAGGCUGUUUCGUAAGUCGUGUGUGAAAGGCGCGGGCUCAACCCGCGGACGGCACAUGAUACUGCGAGACUAGAGUAAUGGAGGGGGAACCGGAAUUCUCGGUGUAGCAGUGAAAUGCGUAGAUAUCGAGAGGAACACUCGUGGCGAAGGCGGGUUCCUGGACAUUAACUGACGCUGAGGCACGAAGGCCAGGGGAGCGAAAGGGAUUAGAUACCCCUGUAGUC